Long non-coding RNA from Cercocebus atys (sooty mangabey), 873 nucleotides. RefSeq lists it as uncharacterized. The record is from RefSeq and is a predicted model, not a curated record. NCBI's taxonomy places the organism in Eukaryota, Metazoa, Chordata, Mammalia, Primates, Cercopithecidae. The transcript is spliced from 3 exons.
CCUUGACGUCCCACCUCAGCCUCCUGAGUAGCUUGGACUACAGUCAUGACAUGCAAAAAACAUUACUUGAUGCCCAGCAUGAACCUCACUCACGGACACCCUGAAAAUAGUCGCUGAUCGCACCAGAGCAAUAAAACAGCUUUCGGCCUGAGGAAGAUCACAUUGAGAUAAGUUGAAAGCAUUUUGAAGAAAAACUCAGAUUGGACACAGGAUUAGUCAGGUGAAAACGUACCUCCAAGAAACCCUAUUUAUGGCAAAUUCCUGUGUAAUCUUCAAGUGUUACAUGCCCUGUGACAUCUGACAUCCCCAAUAAGACUUUGGGAUUCCUUCCUCUCUAAGUUCCCAAUUCAUGUUGCACAUACACUAUAAUCUUUUCCCUGCUAGCAUGUAAGGUCUUCCCAGGAAGGGCUAUGUCUCUUGCCUUUGUAUCUCCAGUACCCUAGUGCCUGGCAUAUAAGAGGAGCUAAACAUAUAUUUGCAUAGUAAAUGCAUAAAUGAAAGUCUUUCCUGACCAAUUUCAUCCUGCUCCGACCACUCUUUCAUUAUACAGCUUAGACUAUUUACAUCUUGCUACACAAGCAUAUGCAGCAAAUGAACCACUGAGAUGCAUUAUGAUUUUUCUGAGUCAAGGAAAAUUUUAACGUGCAAGAAAAUUGACUAUUUAAAGAAACUUUAUGUGAAUAUUUUUGUAACUGGUCAAGGAAGACAUGAAUUCAAAUAUUUACAGGGAUUUUAAGGAGCAGUCUGAGGGAGGGAGUCCAGAGCUAUUCUGUCUAGAAUGCAAACUGCCUGAAGAGUCUAAGAACUGGCCUGUUUGCCUCUUCUCAGCCCACACUCCUCAAUACCCUAAAUUCAAACCUGAAUAAAAAUUAA